This 494-nucleotide long non-coding RNA is filed under the name Macaca mulatta (Rhesus monkey). RNAcentral describes it as "lncRNA (ENSMMUG00000056115.1)". Lineage: Eukaryota; Metazoa; Chordata; Mammalia; Primates; Cercopithecidae. The record is from RNAcentral.
CAGUUACUCUCUAAUCUUGUUAUUAAUUUCAAUGAAGCCUUCAAACACAUGUUUCUAAGGAAAAUAAAAGAGGACUCAGUUUGAGAAUAAUACUUUGGGAGUGAUGCAGAUGACCAGAACAUUUUCAUUUACAUUGCAUUGUUACAAAGCAAUGAUUUUUAAAUGUAUUUAUGGAAAUAUUUGAGAAUGAGUUUAAUAAUGUAUUAAGCUAUGGGACAUUCUAAGAGCUUUUUAUCUUGCUAAAGAGAAGAAUUGUGACUUGCCUUGAGGAAACUGAAGCCCAGAGAUGUAUGCUGGUAGUCAGAAAUCCCUCUUAUCCACGACCGCUUCAACUGUCUUUAAAACAAGAUCAGCUUUCUACUUCCCCAUCAUUCUUAGUCUCACUCUCCCCACAACAGCGUUGUGGUAAUAGAAAUUUGGUUGGUUCUGGCUACCUUCUGGUCCAGUGCCUCAAUCCCUGUCAUCAAGGAGUUUCUGGAGAAAGAUGUGUUUAA